AGAGUUUGAUCCUGGCUCAGAUUGAACGCUGGCGGCAGGCUCAACACAUGCAAGUCGAGCGGUAACAUUUCUAGCUUGCUAGAAGAUGACGAGCGGCGGACGGGUGAGUAAUACUUAGGAAUCUACCUAGUAGUGGGGGAUAGCUCGGGGAAACUCGAAUUAAUACCGCAUACGACCUACGGGAGAAAGGGGGCAACUUGUUGCUCUCGCUAUUAGAUGAGCCUAAGUCGGAUUAGCUAGAUGGUGGGGUAAAGGCCUACCAUGGCGACGAUCUGUAGCUGGUCUGAGAGGAUGAUCAGCCACACCGGGACUGAGACACGGCCCGGACUCCUACGGGAGGCAGCAGUGGGGAAUAUUGGACAAUGGGGGAAACCCUGAUCCAGCCAUGCCGCGUGUGUGAAGAAGGCCUUUUGGUUGUAAAGCACUUUAAGCAGUGAAGAAGACUCUUCGGUUAAUACCCGGAGACGAUGACAUUAGCUGCAGAAUAAGCACCGGCUAACUCUGUGCCAGCAGCCGCGGUAAUACAGAGGGUGCAAGCGUUAAUCGGAAUUACUGGGCGUAAAGCGAGCGUAGGUGGCUUGAUAAGUCAGAUGUGAAAUCCCCGGGCUUAACCUGGGAACUGCAUCUGAUACUGUCAGGCUAGAGUAGGUGAGAGGAAGGUAGAAUUCCAGGUGUAGCGGUGAAAUGCGUAGAGAUCUGGAGGAAUACCGAUGGCGAAGGCAGCCUUCUGGCAUCAUACUGACACUGAGGCUCGAAAGCGUGGGUAGCAAACAGGAUUAGAUACCCUGGUAGUCCACGCCGUAAACGAUGUCUACUAGUCGUUGGGUCCCUUGAGGACUUAGUGACGCAGCUAACGCAAUAAGUAGACCGCCUGGGGAGUACGGCCGCAAGGUUAAAACUCAAAUGAAUUGACGG
RNAcentral lists this ribosomal RNA (915 nucleotides) under uncultured bacterium. RNAcentral's name for it is "bacterial SSU rRNA". It matches the Rfam family "Bacterial small subunit ribosomal RNA", at positions 8 to 916 of the family's 1533-position model. The record is from RNAcentral.